Helianthus annuus (common sunflower) is the source of this 387-nucleotide long non-coding RNA. RefSeq lists it as uncharacterized. The transcript is spliced from 3 exons. Lineage: Eukaryota; Viridiplantae; Streptophyta; Magnoliopsida; Asterales; Asteraceae. The record is from RefSeq and is a predicted model, not a curated record.
CAUAUCGACUGUUCUCUCCAUCAAAGCCGCAUUACGUAUGUUGGAUCUGAACGUCACCCUUUAUAACUGAAGUUAUGUUUUUUCUUGAUUUUGUUACGCUAAUAUGAUUAUUACCUGUAACAUGAGAUGCUUCCUGAUUUACUUAGUUAACCAAGCGGGUUGAGCUAUUAGCCAAGAAAUUAAAGAGGCGAGUCACCCUUGCUUUUAUAUUGUCGAGCCAAGCAAAUAGUGCGCAUACUUGGCAAGGCACCAACGAUCGCAGUAGCAGCUUAUCUAAGGAUGGCAGGGAGGCCACCUGUUCUUCCUUCCAGCAACCUUUAUUACUCUGAGAAUUUUCUAUACAUGCUAGAUUCAAUGGGUGACAAAUCAUAUAAACCCAAUCCCAGA